This 21-nucleotide microRNA is filed under the name Gallus gallus (chicken). RNAcentral describes it as "gga-miR-1579". The record is from miRBase by way of RNAcentral. Lineage: Eukaryota; Metazoa; Chordata; Aves; Galliformes; Phasianidae.
CGUGGCGGGAAGGGAUGGGCG